GAUCAUGGCUCAGGAUGAACGCUAGCUACAGGCUUAACACAUGCAAGUCGAGGGGCAGCAUGAAUUUACUUCGGUAAAUUUGAUGGCGACCGGCGCACGGGUGCGUAACGCGUAUCCAACCUUCCCGUUACUCCGGGAUAGCCUUCCGAAAGGGAGAUUAAUACCGGAUGGUGUUCAAGUGGUGCAUAUUAUUUGAACUAAAGAUUUAUCGGUAACGGAUGGGGAUGCGUACCAUUAGAUAGUAGGCGGGGUAACGGCCCACCAUGGCGACGAUCAGUAGCCGGUCUGAGAGGAUGAACGGCCACAUUGGGACUGAGAUACGGCCCAGACUCCUACGGGAGGCAGCAGUGAGGAAUAUUGGUCAAUGGCCGGAAGGCUGAACCAGCCAAGUAGCGUGAAGGAUGAAGGUUCUAUGGAUUGUAAACUUCUUUUAUACGGGAAUAAAGCCCGCUACGUGUAGCGGUUUGUAUGUACCGUAUGAAUAAGCAUCGGCUAACUCCGUG
RNAcentral lists this ribosomal RNA (503 nucleotides) under uncultured bacterium. RNAcentral describes it as "bacterial SSU rRNA". It matches the Rfam family "Bacterial small subunit ribosomal RNA", at positions 15 to 507 of the family's 1533-position model. The record is from RNAcentral.